CACGAACAAAAUUUAAGUCGCUCUGGAUAAGAGCAUCUGCUAAAUGACUUAAA
Molecule: non-coding RNA, 53 nt
Organism: Salmo salar (Atlantic salmon)
Lineage: Eukaryota; Metazoa; Chordata; Actinopteri; Salmoniformes; Salmonidae
Source: Rfam